UACGUAGGGUCCAAGCGUUCUCCGGAAUCACUGGGCGUAAAGCGUGCGUAGGUGGUUUGUUAAGUGUGAUGUUAAAUCGUGGGGCUCAACCCUAUCGAUGCAUCGCAUACUGGCAGACUAGAGGACAGCAGAGGCAAGUGGAAUUUGUAGUGUAGCAGUGAAAUGCGUAGAUAUUACAAGGAACACCAAUGGCGAAGGCAGCUUGCUGGGCUACUCCUGACACUGAGGUACGAAAGCGUGGGGAGCGUACAGG
This 253-nucleotide ribosomal RNA is filed under the name uncultured bacterium. RNAcentral describes it as "partial 16S ribosomal RNA". It matches the Rfam family "Bacterial small subunit ribosomal RNA", at positions 524 to 776 of the family's 1533-position model. The record is from RNAcentral.